This 440-nucleotide ribosomal RNA is filed under the name uncultured bacterium. RNAcentral describes it as "partial 16S ribosomal RNA". It matches the Rfam family "Bacterial small subunit ribosomal RNA", at positions 338 to 795 of the family's 1533-position model. The record is from RNAcentral.
CCUACGGGCGGCAGCAGUGGGGGAUAUUGCACAAUGGGGGGAACCCUGAUGCAGCGACGCCGCGUGGGUGAAGACGCGCCUCGGCGCGUAAAGCUCUGUCAGCAGGGAAGAAAAUGACGGUACCUGAAGAAGAAGCCCCGGCUAAAGACGUGCCAGCAUCCGCGGGAAUACGGAGGGGGCAAGCGUUAUUCGGAUUUACUGGGUGUAAAGGGGGCGCAGGCGGGGAUGCAAGCCAGGAGUGAAAGCCGGGGGGCCAACCCCGGGACUGCACUUGGAACUGCGGGGCUUGAGUGGAGGAGGGGCAGGCGGAAUGCCUGGUGUAGCGGUGAAAUGCGUAGAUAUCAGGAGGAACACCGGUGGCGAAGGCGGCCUGCUGGACUGCAACUGACGCUGAGGCCCGAAAGCGUGGGGAGCAAACAGGAUUAGAUACCCGGGUAGUC